CUCGAUAAAGCCAAACCCUCCGUGAGAAGGGGACGGAAAGCAUAGGGUCUUAAUCGUAAGAUGGCCGAGCUGCCGAAG
This 78-nucleotide non-coding RNA is filed under the name Nitrospinota bacterium. RNAcentral's name for it is "Nitrospira bacterium c-di-GMP sequence". It matches the Rfam family "c-di-GMP-I-GGC riboswitch aptamer". The record is from RNAcentral. Lineage: Bacteria; Pseudomonadati; Nitrospinota.